CCUACGGGUGGCAGCAGUAGGGAAUAUUGCACAAUGGGGGAAACCCUGAUGCAGCGACGCCGCGUGAGUGAAGAAGUAUUUCGGUACGUAAAGCUCUAUCAGCAGGGAAGAAAAUGACGGUACCUGACUAAGAACCCCCGGCUAACUACGUGCCAGCAGCCGCGGUAAUACGUAGGGGGCAAGCGUUAGCCGGAUUUACUGGGGGUAAAGGUAGCGUAGACGGCAGCGCAAGUCUGGAGUGAAAUCCGGGGGCUUAACCAUGGAACUGCUUUGGAAACUGUGCGGCUGGAGUGCAGGAGAGGUAAGCGGAAUUCCUAGUGUAGCGGUGAAAUGCGUAGAUAUUAGGAGGAACACCAGUGGCGAAGGCGGCUUACUGGCCUGUAACUGACGUUGAGGCUCGAAAGCGUGGGGAGCAAACAGGAUUAGAUACCCCAGUAGUC
RNAcentral lists this ribosomal RNA (440 nucleotides) under uncultured bacterium. Its description in RNAcentral is "partial 16S ribosomal RNA". It matches the Rfam family "Bacterial small subunit ribosomal RNA", at positions 338 to 795 of the family's 1533-position model. The record is from RNAcentral.